Molecule: ribosomal RNA, 445 nt
Filed under: uncultured bacterium
Lineage: Bacteria
Description: bacterial SSU rRNA
Rfam family: Bacterial small subunit ribosomal RNA
Source: RNAcentral
GUAAGGAAUAUUGGUCAAUGGGCGGAAGCCUGAACCAGCCAUGCCGCGUGCAGGAAGACGGCCCUACGGGUUGUAAACUGCUUUUAUACCGGAAUAACCCUCAUUACGAGUAAUGGGCUGAAUGUACGGUAAGAAUAAGGAUCGGCUAACUCCGUGCCAGCAGCCGCGGUAAUACGGAGGAUCCAAGCGUUAUCCGGAUUUAUUGGGUUUAAAGGGUGCGUAGGUGGCUUUUUAAGUCAGGGGUGAAAGACGGUAGCUUAACUAUCGCAGUGCCUUUGAUACUGAAGAGCUUGAAUGAACUAGAGGUAGGCGGAAUGUGACAAGUAGCGGUGAAAUGCAUAGAUAUGUCACAGAACACCAAUUGCGAAGGCAGCUUACUAUGGUUUUAUUGACACUGAGGCACGAAAGCGUGGGGAUCAAACAGGAUUAGAUACCCUUGUAGUCC